GUCAAAUCAAUGAAGUGAACAACCCAACCUCUUUGUUUGAAGCGUUGCCAAGAAGCUUCUACUUGCUUGUUGAAGUCGAGAAGUGGAAGUAAUAAAAAAGAGAUGUUUCUCUUCACACCUCAAAUCAAGAGGAAAGGUAGCUUGUCAAGCUGGCCUAACCUAUGCCAAUUUUGGCGGACCAUGCUCCACCCCGGUGAACUCAUGCAGUUCUGACGUGCCCAGAGGCCAGAGGCAAAUCCGUUCACGAUUCUUUCCCAACAAAAAAGGAAAGGGCUGUAUCACAUCGAGAUGUCGAUUUGUUUUC
RNAcentral lists this long non-coding RNA (304 nucleotides) under Spirodela polyrhiza (greater duckweed). RNAcentral's name for it is "long non-coding RNA (SPOL_LNC000969)". Lineage: Eukaryota; Viridiplantae; Streptophyta; Magnoliopsida; Alismatales; Araceae. The record is from RNAcentral.